AGUGAACGCUGGCGGUAGGCCUAACACAUGCAAGUCGAACGGCAGCACAGUAAGAUCUUGCUCUUACGGGUGGCGAGUGGCGGACGGGUGAGGUAUACAUCGGAAUCUACUUUUUCGUGGGGGAUAACGUAGGGAAACUUACGCUAAUACCGCAUACGACCUACGGGUGAAAGCAGGGGAUCUUCGGACCUUGCGCGAUUGAAUGAGCCGAUGUCGGAGUAGCUAGUUGGCGGGGUAAAGGCCCACCAAGGCGACGAUCCGUAGCUGGUCUGAGAGGAUGAUCAGCCACACUGGAACUGAGACACGGUCCAGACUCCUACGGGAGGCAGCAGUGGGGAAUAUUGGACAAUGGGCGCAAGCCUGAUCCAGCCAUACCGCGUGGGUGAAGAAGGCCUUCGGGUUGUAAAGCCCUUUUGUUGGGAAAGAAAAGCAGCAGGUUAAUACCACGCUGUUAUGACGGUACCCAAAGAAUAAGCACCGGCUAACUUCGUG
This 492-nucleotide ribosomal RNA is filed under the name uncultured bacterium. RNAcentral describes it as "partial 16S ribosomal RNA". It matches the Rfam family "Bacterial small subunit ribosomal RNA", at positions 29 to 507 of the family's 1533-position model. The record is from RNAcentral.